Molecule: unclassified non-coding RNA, 420 nt
Filed under: Hevea brasiliensis (rubber tree)
Lineage: Eukaryota; Viridiplantae; Streptophyta; Magnoliopsida; Malpighiales; Euphorbiaceae
Source: RNAcentral
UAUAAACGAGUCGAGCUCGAACUCCAACUAGUUCAAGCUCGAAUCCUUGGCUCAUUUAGAAAACGAGUCAAACCAAACCAAACUUUUAUCGAACCAAGCCUCGAAUGGCCCGCGAGCGACUUAGUUCAUUUACAACCCUAAUUGUCGCAAAAUGUAGCAGUGGAUCAUUCAGCUUCGCCAUGUUUAUCAAGAAGGGAAUCGGCCACCGAAAUGGCUUGCAAAUGCAGCUCUGGUUCAUAUUAUGAGGAAUUCAGAUAAUUAUUCAUCCUCCUCACAGCAUCAGUCCAUUUUUAGUUGAUGAUAAUUUGGGGACGCUUAGGCUUCCAGGAAAAGAGUCCAGCUUUCAGACCAAAAAAACUUCAUUUUGCCAUUUGUAUAAAGCCAGGGGACGGGCUAUAUUAAGACGCAUUUACAUGCACG